Molecule: non-coding RNA, 25 nt
Filed under: Rattus norvegicus (Norway rat)
Lineage: Eukaryota; Metazoa; Chordata; Mammalia; Rodentia; Muridae
Source: RNAcentral
UCCUUGCGGGAUUCCCUAAAAGGCC